Molecule: ribosomal RNA, 492 nt
Filed under: uncultured bacterium
Lineage: Bacteria
Description: partial 16S ribosomal RNA
Rfam family: Bacterial small subunit ribosomal RNA
Source: RNAcentral
AGUGAACGCUGGCGGUAGGCCUAACACAUGCAAGUCGAACGGCAGCACAGUAAGAGCUUGCUCUUACGGGUGGCGAGUGGCGGACGGGUGAGGAAUACAUCGGAAUCUACUUUUUCGUGGGGGAUAACGUAGGGAAACUUACGCUAAUACCGCAUACGACCUACGGGUGAAAGCAGGGGAUCUUCGGACCUUGCGCGAUUGAAUGAGCCGAUGUCGGAUUAGCUAGUUGGCGGGGUAAAGGCCCACCAAGGCGACGAUCCGUAGCUGGUCUGAGAGGAUGAACAGGCAAACCGGGACUGGAGCACCGUCCAAGAUCCUAAGGGAAGGCGGAGGUGGGGAAAUUGGGCAAAGGGGGGCAACCCGGACCCAGCCUACCGGGGUGGUUGAAGAAGGCUUUCGGUUGGUAAAGCCUUUUUGUUGGGAAAAAAAGCAGCAGGUUAAUACCCCGCUGUUCUGACGGUACCCAAAGAAUAAGCACCGGCUAACUUCGUG